RNAcentral lists this transfer RNA (98 nucleotides) under Candidatus Bathyarchaeota archaeon. RNAcentral's name for it is "tRNA-Arg". It matches the Rfam family "tRNA". Rfam says of the family: Transfer RNA (tRNA) molecules are approximately 80 nucleotides in length. Their secondary structure includes four short double-helical elements and three loops (D, anti-codon, and T loops). The record is from RNAcentral. Lineage: Archaea; Thermoproteati; Candidatus Bathyarchaeota.
GCGGGGGUACCAGAGUCAGGUCAAAUAUCUGACCAAAUGGGCGGGUCGCGAUCCCGUGGCGUAGGCCUUCGUGGGUUCGAAUCCCACCCCCCGCACCA